GUCACUUUGGCGGAGUGGUUAACGCGUUGCCCUGCUAUCUAACCAUAGUCGACAGGCAAUUCCCUCGGGAGCACAGGUUCGAAUCCUGUAGGUGACG
Molecule: transfer RNA, 97 nt
Filed under: Lasiosphaeris hirsuta
Lineage: Eukaryota; Fungi; Ascomycota; Sordariomycetes; Sordariales; Lasiosphaeriaceae
Rfam family: tRNA
About the family: Transfer RNA (tRNA) molecules are approximately 80 nucleotides in length. Their secondary structure includes four short double-helical elements and three loops (D, anti-codon, and T loops).
Source: Rfam by way of RNAcentral